GCCCGGCAUGGCGGGGCACACCUGUAAUCCCAGCAGCUCGGGAGGCUGAGGCAGGAGGGUCACUAGUAUGAGGCCAACCUCAGCAAUUUAGUGAUACCCUAAGCAACUUAGUGAAACCCUGUCUCAA
This 127-nucleotide small RNA is filed under the name Marmota monax (woodchuck). The record is from RNAcentral. Lineage: Eukaryota; Metazoa; Chordata; Mammalia; Rodentia; Sciuridae.